This 210-nucleotide ribosomal RNA is filed under the name Klebsiella pneumoniae. RNAcentral describes it as "partial 16S ribosomal RNA". It matches the Rfam family "Bacterial small subunit ribosomal RNA", at positions 900 to 1109 of the family's 1533-position model. The record is from RNAcentral. Lineage: Bacteria; Pseudomonadati; Pseudomonadota; Gammaproteobacteria; Enterobacterales; Enterobacteriaceae.
CUCAAAUGAAUUGACGGGGGCCCGCACAAGCGGUGGAGCAUGUGGUUUAAUUCGAUGCAACGCGAAGAACCUUACCUGGUCUUGACAUCCACAGAACUUAGCAGAGAUGGAUUGGUGCCUUCGGGAACUGUGAGACAGGUGCUGCAUGGCUGUCGUCAGCUCGUGUUGUGAAAUGUUGGGUUAAGUCCCGCAACGAGCGCAACCCUUAUC